GGUGUGAUUAUAAAGCAGUGAGACUGAUUUGGGGUGUGCAGCUUCUGGAAUCAGUCUCAUUACUUUCUACUCUCACCU
Molecule: microRNA precursor, 78 nt
Filed under: Otolemur garnettii (small-eared galago)
Lineage: Eukaryota; Metazoa; Chordata; Mammalia; Primates; Galagidae
Description: miRNA (ENSOGAG00000021053.1)
Source: RNAcentral